AGUAGCGUGAAGGANGACUGCCCUAUGGGUUGUAAACUUCUUUUAUAAAGGAAUAAAGUCGGGUAUGCAUACCCGUUUGCAUGUACUUUAUGAAUAAGGAUCGGCUAACUCCGUGCCAGCAGCCGCGGUAAUACGGAGGAUCCGAGCGUUAUCCGGAUUUAUUGGGUUUAAAGGGAGCGUAGAUGGAUGUUUAAGUCAGUUGUGAAAGUUUGCGGCUCAACCGUAAAAUUGCAGUUGAUACUGGAUGUCUUGAGUGCAGUUGAGGCAGGCGGAAUUCGUGGUGUAGCGGUGAAAUGCUUAGAUAUCACGAAGAACUCCGAUUGCGAAGGCAGCCUGCUAAGCUGCAACUGACAUUGAGGCUCGAAAGUGUGGGUAUCAAACAGGAUUAGAUACCCUGGUAGUCCACACGGUAAACGAUGAAUACUCGCUGUUUGCGAUAUACGGCAAGCGGCCAAGCGAAAGCGUUAAGUAUUCCACCUGGGGAGUACGCCGGCAACGGUGAAACUCAAAGGAAUUGACGGGGGCCCGCACAAGCGGAGGAACAUGUGGUUUAAUUCGAUGAUACGCGAGGAACCUUACCCGGGCUUAAAUUGCACUCGAAUGAUCCGGAAACGGUUCAGCUAGCAAUAGCGAGUGUGAAGGUGCUGCAUGGUUGUCGUCAGCUCGUGCCGUGAGGUGUCGGCUUAAGUGCCAUAACGAGCGCAACCCUUGUUGUCAGUUACUAACAGGUGAUGCUGAGGACUCUGACAAGACUGCCAUCGUAAGAUGUGAGGAAGGUGGGGAUGACGUCAAAUCAGCACGGCCCUUACGUCCGGGGCUACACACGUGUUACAAUGGGGGGUACAGAGGGCCGCUACCACGCGAGUGGAUGCCAAUCCCUAAAACCCCUCUCAGUUCGGACUGGAGUCUGCAACCCGACUCCACGAAGCUGGAUUCGCUAGUAAUCGCGCAUCAGCCACGGCGCGGUGAAUACGUUCCCGGGCCUUGUACACACCGCCCGUCAAGCCAUGGGAGCCGGGGGUACCUGAAGUGCGUAACCGCGAGGAUCGCCCUAGGGUAAAACUGGUGACUGGGGCUAAGUCUAACCAAGGUAA
RNAcentral lists this ribosomal RNA (1094 nucleotides) under uncultured Bacteroides sp. RNAcentral's name for it is "bacterial SSU rRNA". It matches the Rfam family "Bacterial small subunit ribosomal RNA", at positions 395 to 1499 of the family's 1533-position model. Lineage: Bacteria; Pseudomonadati; Bacteroidota; Bacteroidia; Bacteroidales; Bacteroidaceae. The record is from RNAcentral.